GGAGUUGUGGCUCAGUAGUAGAGUGCUUGCCUAGCAUGUGCCAGGCCCUGAGUUCGAUCCUCAGCAACACAU
Non-coding RNA from Ictidomys tridecemlineatus (thirteen-lined ground squirrel), 72 nucleotides. NCBI's taxonomy places the organism in Eukaryota, Metazoa, Chordata, Mammalia, Rodentia, Sciuridae. The record is from Rfam.